RNAcentral lists this ribosomal RNA (251 nucleotides) under uncultured prokaryote. RNAcentral's name for it is "partial 16S rRNA". It matches the Rfam family "Bacterial small subunit ribosomal RNA", at positions 525 to 775 of the family's 1533-position model. The record is from RNAcentral.
ACGGAGGAUGCGAGCGUUAUCCGGAUUUAUUGGGUUUAAAGGGUGCGUAGGCGGAUUAAUAAGUCAGUGGUGAAAACCUGCAGCUUAACUGUGGAACUGCCGUUGAUACUGUUAGUCUUGAGUAUGGUCAAGGUAGGCGGAAUGUGUAAUGUAGCGGUGGAAUGCUUAGAUAUUACGCGGAACACCGGUUGCGAAGGCGGCUUACUGGGCCGUUACUGACGCUGAUGAACGAGAGCGUGGGGAUCGAACAG